This 305-nucleotide unclassified non-coding RNA is filed under the name plant metagenome. RNAcentral's name for it is "partial contains 5.8S ribosomal RNA, internal transcribed spacer 2, and large subunit ribosomal RNA". The stretch from base 1 to 104 matches the Rfam family "5.8S ribosomal RNA", at positions 51 to 154 of the family's 154-position model. The record is from RNAcentral.
AAAUGCGAUAAGUAAUGUGAAUUGCAGAAUUCAGUGAAUCAUCGAAUCUUUGAACGCACAUUGCGCCCGCCAGUAUUCUGGCGGGCAUGCCUGUCCGAGCGUCAUUUCAACCAUCAAGCCCCCGGGCUUGUGUUGGGGACCUGCGGCUGCCCGCAGGCCCUGAAAACCAGUGGCGGGCUCGCUGUCACACCGAGCGUAGUAGCAAUCACCUCGCUCAGGGCGUGCUGCGGGUUCCGGCCGUUAAACAGCCUUACAAAACCUAAGAUUGACCUCGGAUCAGGUAGGAAGACCCGCUGAACUUAAGC